CACUUUUUUCAGAUGAAAGAUCACAUCGCCUAUCUUUAGUUGGAAUCGCAUUCAUCCUCAGAUACCAGUGUCAUGAGGAAACCUGGCAACGUCAUGGAGAAAUCCAGCAAUAUCCUGAACCAGUCACUGCAAGGUCAUGAGGAAACAGAUUAAAAUAUUGAACCGGAGGGAUGGGAAGUUCACAGAAAACACUACGAUUUGUGGUACAGCCACCAAUUACUGGCAAGUUCACUACGAUUUGUGGUACAGCCACCAAUUACUG
Molecule: long non-coding RNA, 262 nt
Organism: Liolophura sinensis
Lineage: Eukaryota; Metazoa; Mollusca; Polyplacophora; Chitonida; Chitonidae
Exons: 3
Source: RefSeq, a predicted model, not a curated record